This 479-nucleotide ribosomal RNA is filed under the name uncultured soil bacterium. RNAcentral describes it as "bacterial SSU rRNA". It matches the Rfam family "Bacterial small subunit ribosomal RNA", at positions 26 to 528 of the family's 1533-position model. The record is from RNAcentral.
AGGACGAACGCUGGCGGCGUGCCUAACACAUGCAAGUCGAACGGAGCCAGGGGCAACCCUGGUUCAGUGGCGGACGGGUGCGUAACACGUGAGGAACAUGUCUUUCGGUGGGGGAUAGCCGGCCCAACGGCCGGGUAAUACCGCAUACGCUGACUUGAGCUCCUGCUCUGGUUCGGAAAGCAGCAAUGCGCCGAUUGAGUGCCUCGCGGCCUAUCAGCUAGUUGGUGAGGUAACGGCUCACCAAGGCGACGACGGGUAGCUGGUCUGAGAGGACGGCCAGCCACAUUGGGACUGAGACACGGCCCAGACUCCUACGGGAGGCAGCAGUGGGAAUAUUGCGCAAUGGGCGAAAGCCUGACGCAGCGACGCCGCGUGUGGGAUGAAGGCCUUCGGGUAGUAAACCACUGUCGGAGGACGAAGAUCUGACGGUACCUACCAAAGGAAGCACCGGCUAAACGUCUAGUGCCAAGCAAGCCGAC